Molecule: long non-coding RNA, 882 nt
Organism: Schistocerca cancellata (South American locust)
Lineage: Eukaryota; Metazoa; Arthropoda; Insecta; Orthoptera; Acrididae
Exons: 4
Source: RefSeq, a predicted model, not a curated record
UGUUGCUCCAUCUGCCAAACUGCAACAACUUCUACAGCAGUGAGUGUCGCGACUGUUAUGUUAGACCGUGUUUUCUACACUCCAUUCCCCUGUAACGUUGUACUGCCUAAAAAAGGAGGUCCAUAAGUGUCCCAAGAAAUAGUGUCUUUUUAAAACUAGACAGUUGCGUUCUUGAAUUUCAUUUAUAAUUUUGUUUAUCUCGUGACAAAUUUUUUACCUUGGUAAUUCAGAUGCUCACCGUGUUCAGUGUGCAGAUUUUUCGCCAGUCUGUUAAUAUCUACUACAUUGCAUUUUGCUGAAACGAGUUCUUAACGAGGUUGCGCAAUGUCCCCUGAUGAGUUCUGUUAUGCCUGUGGUGAACAUAGUUUAUUGAAAAAUAGACAGAACAUCACUAACUUCAUAAAGUAAACAUAUUUGGCAUCUUUGGUAUUCAUCUUGUGGAUAAAGAACAGCCAAGCACUCCCUAUGGGGCAGCACCAAUUUCACCUGACAACUCUUGUAUGGCUGCCCUUAUUUUUACUUGUAAGAUCUGUUGCAAACUUCAUCAGAAGAAGAUGGUUUAUGGAAAAUGGUCUCUGGAUGAAAACACUCACAACACUGGUGCAAUAUUCUACAAUAUUUAUUGUUUGUUCCACAAACUGCUUAUUGGCCAUCAUCUGGUACAAAGUUAAGUGUAUGGUGCAGAGAUAUUUGGUUGGAUCAAAGAUUUUAAACCAGUGCAUCUACACUGUAUCUUCAUUUCCAGAUAUGAAAAUAUUUAGCAAUGAAAUAAGAUUAUUUCAGUGUAAAUGUAAUAUAAUCUUUUGUAACUAAGAGAAAAUAUGUGACAAAUCAACAGAUGAAUUAUGUUCAAAUUAAAACAGUUGUUAUGGAAGAAAAUAA